UACGUAGGCGGAAAAUUAAGUCAGUAGUGAAAUCCUGCAGCUUAACUGUAGAACUGUUAUUGAUACUGGUUUUCUUGAAUAUAGUUGAGGUAGGCGGAAUGUGUAAUGUAGCGGUGAAAUGCUUAGAUAUUACACAGAACACCGAUUGCGAAGGCAGCUUACUAAGCUAUUAUUGACGCUGAGGUACGAAAGCGUGGGGAGCGAACAGGAUUAGAUACCCUGGUAGUCC
RNAcentral lists this ribosomal RNA (229 nucleotides) under uncultured bacterium. Its description in RNAcentral is "partial 16S ribosomal RNA". It matches the Rfam family "Bacterial small subunit ribosomal RNA", at positions 568 to 796 of the family's 1533-position model. The record is from RNAcentral.